AAGUCCGCAGUCGAGGGACGGUUGCUUGCAACCCGCUGACGACCGGCGCACGGGUGCGUAACGCGUAUGCAACCUACCUUCUACGGGGGAUAGUCAAUAAAAUGUUGAAUAMMCCCCAUACGAUCAUGAAUUGGCAUCAAUUUAUGAGGAAAGUUCCGGCGGUAAAGAGGGCAUGCUCCUAUUAGUUAGUGGGGGUAACGGCUCACCAAGACAUCGAUAGGUGGGGUCCUGAAGGGAGACCCCCCACUGGUACUGAACCGGMCCAACCCUACGGGAGGCAGCAGUGAGGAAUAUUGGACAGGAGGCAACUCUGAUCCAGCCAUGCCGCGUGCAAGACGGCCCUAUGGGUUGUAAACUGUUUUAUACAGGAAAAACGCCUCCUCGUGGGGGGUUUGACGGUACUGUACAAUAAGGAUCGGCUAACUCCGUGCCAGCAGCCGCGGUAAUACGGAGGAUCCAAGCGUUAUCCGGAAUCAUUGGGUUUAAAGGGUCCGUAGGCGGUUUAAUAAGUCAGAGGUGAAAUCCUACAGCUCAACUGUAGAAUUGCCUUUGAUACUGUUAGACUUGAGUUAUUGUGAAGUAGUUAGAAUGUGUAGUGUAGCGGUGAAAUGCAUAGAUAUUACACAGAAUACCGAUUGCGAAAGCAGAUUACUAACAAUACACUGACGCUGAGGGACGAAAGCGUGGGUAGCGAACAGGAUUAGAUACCCUGGUAGUCCACGCCGUAAACGAUGGAUACUACUGUUCGACCAACAUUGGUUGGUUGAGUGGCUAAGCGAAAGGAUAAGUAUCCCACCUGGGGAGUACGCUCGCAAGAGUGAAACUCAAAGGAAUUGACGGGGCCCGCACAAGCGGUGGAGCUGUGGUUUAAUUCGAUGAUACGCGAGGAACCUUACCUUAAAUGUAGUUGCAUAGAUCAGAGAUGGUCUUUUCUUCGGACUACUUACGCUGCAUGGUCGUCAGCUCGUUGAGUGUCAAGUCUAGAGCGCCACCCUGUCGUAUGCCAUCAGUAUUGGACUCUAGGUCAGUGAAGGGGAAAACGUACGUUUGG
This 1051-nucleotide ribosomal RNA is filed under the name uncultured Bacteroidota bacterium. RNAcentral describes it as "bacterial SSU rRNA". It matches the Rfam family "Bacterial small subunit ribosomal RNA", at positions 51 to 1155 of the family's 1533-position model. The record is from RNAcentral. Lineage: Bacteria; Pseudomonadati; Bacteroidota.